RNAcentral lists this unclassified non-coding RNA (323 nucleotides) under uncultured Chytridiomycota. Its description in RNAcentral is "sequence contains ITS2". Lineage: Eukaryota; Fungi; Chytridiomycota. The record is from RNAcentral.
AACGCACAUUGCACUCCUCUGGAGUAUGCCUGUUUGAGAAUCUAUAGUAUUAAUUUCUCGUGAUUUCAUUCGUGGAAGAUCGGGGAGAUAUGAAGUUCCCAUCUUGAUGGGUUCUUUUAAAUAGAUUGCUACUAGUAAUACGAAAAUGCUUGACAUUUCUCUAUAUCUAUUAGAAAAGUAUGUGUAUGAAACUGUGGUUUCUCAUAAUGCCUAUUAUCUUAGAGGAGAUUUGAAGUUUUCAUAUGAACAGUUAGUCCACACCUAUAAAGGCGCAAGCCUUGAACCAUGGUCUCAAAUCAGGUAGGAAGACCCGCUGAACUUAA